CAAUAGCGUAUAUUAAAGUUGUUGCGGUUAAAAAGCUCGUAGUUGGAUUUCUGCCGAGGACGACCGGUCCGCCCUCUGGGUGAGUAUCUGGUUCGGCCUGGGCAUCUUCUUGGAGAACGUAUCUGCACUUGACUGUGUGGUGCGGUAUCCAGGACUUUUACUUUGAGGAAAUUAGAGUGUUUCAAGCAGGCACACGCCUUGAAUACAUUAGCAUGGAAUAAUAAGAUAGGACCUUGGUUCUAUUUUGUUGGUUUCUAGAGCUGAGGUAAUGAUUAAUAGGGAUAGUUGGGGGGCAUUCGUAUUUAACUGUCAGAGGUGAAAUUCUUGGACCGUCGCAAGACGAACUACAGCGAAAGCAUUUGCCAAGGAUGUUUUCAUUAAUCAAGAACGAAAGUUAGGGGAUCGAAGAUGAUCAGAU
Molecule: ribosomal RNA, 418 nt
Filed under: uncultured eukaryote
Lineage: Eukaryota
Description: SSU rRNA
Rfam family: Eukaryotic small subunit ribosomal RNA
Source: RNAcentral